This 270-nucleotide ribosomal RNA is filed under the name uncultured archaeon. RNAcentral describes it as "partial 16S ribosomal RNA". It matches the Rfam family "Archaeal small subunit ribosomal RNA", at positions 477 to 747 of the family's 1478-position model. The record is from RNAcentral.
CUGCAGCCCGAGUGGUGGUCGAUAUUAUUGAGCCUAAAGCGUCCGUAGCCGGACCAGUAAAUUCUUGGGUAAAUCGUGUAGCUUAACUAUACGACUUCCGGGUAGACUGCUAAACUUGAGACCGGGAGAGGCUAGAGGUACUCCUGGGGUAGAGGUGAAAUUCUGUAAUCCUAGGGGGACCACCAGUGGCGAAGGCGUCUAGCUAGAACGGGUCUGACGGUGAGGGACGAAGCCCUGGGGCACAAACCGGAUUAGAUACCCGAGUAGUCC